RNAcentral lists this long non-coding RNA (313 nucleotides) under Fukomys damarensis (Damara mole-rat). RNAcentral describes it as "lncRNA (ENSFDAG00000029951.1)". Lineage: Eukaryota; Metazoa; Chordata; Mammalia; Rodentia; Bathyergidae. The record is from RNAcentral.
GAGAACAACAGGUGAUUAAAAAAGAGUUCCUCAGAACACUGCCACAGGAUGAUCAAGGAGGAAGGAACUCAGAUAUAAUUAACCUUGCAAGAAUCCAGAGCCCAGAGCUUGGAAGCCCCAGAGUCAUAUGGCAAGAUUGAAACCAGCCAUCAGUGUGAGAGAAAAGUAAAAGCUGAAAUUAAGAUCAGAGAUGAGCAAACAGAACCCCAGAGAAUAGUUUCUAAUAAAGCCGGGAGAGUCGCCAGACACAGAUGUAUCACUCUGUGAAUCAGACACGUCUCAGAGACAAAGCCUUUGGAUGAAUCCACAGUCC